UGGAGAAAAAUGAUCACAACUGAAGAGAAUGUGCAGGCAGUGACUUGUGACUCAUGAAAUGACUUAAAGCAGCGGUUCUCAUCCUUUUUUCUUUUUUUUUUUUUUUAGAUUUUCAACUGACUUUACUUCCUGACUUUCAACCAUGGAAACUCUGGGAAGUCAUCAUAAUUGACUCAUAUUUUCUAAAGAAAUAGUUAUAGCAAAUAGCUCUGUAAAACCACAACUUUUUACAUUCUACAAACAAACUCAACUAACGGAUACAACAUUUUAAUUACUAAGCUUUAGAUGUGCUGGUGGGCGUAGUUUUAAACUUAAGACAGAGUCAUGAGGUGAGAUCGAAAAGUUCUGAAACUGUUCCUGUUGCAGUUGCAGUAUGGUAAUGUACAUGCAGCAGGCGCAAACAAUAACUUUUGUGAGAUAGUUAUGCACGUUACCUUGUAUGAUCGACAUCUGGACCAUGUGUUUAUACAAUCACUUGCAGGUGAGCAAUCAUUGAUACCCACCCAACUCACUGGAUUUCGUUCUGUGUGACUUCUUCCUCUUCCCCAAGAUGAAAUUCAAGCUGAAGGGUCGCCGUUUUGACACAGUGGAGGAGAUGCAGUCUGAGUCGCAGAUGGUGCCUGACACACUUACAGAGCAGGACUUCCAGGGAGUGCUCCAAUCAUGGCAGGAGCACUGAGAGCAGUGUAUCCCUGCACAAGGUGACUGCUUCGAGGGGAUGAUGGCCAAAUUAAAAUCAGAGGCACCAGCUGUGAAAUCUGCAUAACUGUGUCUUUGAGGAGUGAGUUCAGUGUUAUUGCCACUCACUCUGAGAUGUGAACAAAGAUGUCUUCGCCGCCAUGGGAGGGUCGAAUGAAGCCGUGACCUUGUGACCUGGAGAAGUUCUUACACAUGCCCUUAAACACUGGACCUGAGUGGGCACGUACUGUACUGCAGGGGGAGGACAACAGGGUUCUCACAUGAACAAUAAAAUUACUCAUCUCA
Long non-coding RNA from Lates calcarifer (barramundi perch), 984 nucleotides. RefSeq lists it as uncharacterized. Lineage: Eukaryota; Metazoa; Chordata; Actinopteri; Centropomidae. The transcript has 2 exons. The record is from RefSeq and is a predicted model, not a curated record.